UACGGAGAGGGCGUAGCGUUAUUCGGAAUUAUUGGGCGUAAGGGCGGCGUAGGCUGGUUAAUAAGUUAAAGUAGAAAUACCCGAGGCUUAACCUUGGAAUUGCUUUUAAACUAUUAACCUAGAGAUUGAAGAGGAUAGAGGAAUUCCUGAUGUAGAGGUAAAUUCGUAAAUAUUAGGAGGAACACCAGUGGCGAAGGCGUCUAUCUGGUUCAAAUUUGACGCUGAGGCGCGAAGGCGUGGGGAGCAAACAGGAUUAGAUACCCCGGUAGU
RNAcentral lists this ribosomal RNA (270 nucleotides) under Wolbachia sp. RNAcentral describes it as "partial 16S ribosomal RNA". It matches the Rfam family "Bacterial small subunit ribosomal RNA", at positions 524 to 794 of the family's 1533-position model. The record is from RNAcentral. Lineage: Bacteria; Pseudomonadati; Pseudomonadota; Alphaproteobacteria; Rickettsiales; Anaplasmataceae.